UUGACAACAUGUACCAUGCAUUUGACAUGAACCUAUGAAGGUUUCUCCAUACCACACAAAACAAUUAGUGCUUAAGGUGGUACCAAACACCUUGACUAAAACUAAUUUGGCUUGUUUAAUUUUCAUAAAAUUUUGACAAAAUAUUUACUUUGACCCUUUGACAAAAAUAUAAAAAAUUUCCAAAAACUUAAACCACACACUUUAUCGGAAAAAUUUCAUUGGAUAUAUAGCAGUUUGACAAACACUAAUUUUGAUCAUUGAGAAGCUUAAUAUUUCCUUAACAAUAGAACAUGAUUAAAAUGUUCGGCAGAUUUUUUAAGAGUUAUCUCCCUGUAGUGUUAUGUACCACCUUAAAUUGAUUACUGCUUAUUAAUUUAUUUUCCUGGGUACCAAUUUUCGUGCAUUGAGAAAACAAAUUAUUUUCAUGGAUAUUUGAUUUCUUGGUUGUGCAAAGUCUGCAUACAAGCCUAUAGAAAUUGUAUACUUUGUUGGGAAUUAAUAUUCAUGGUUCACCUAUACUAAAGAAAGAGUGGUGGAUUUAGAAAGCCUCCCCCCUCUUAUAUCAAUAUGCAGAAAAAGUGAAAAUCCCUACUAAUAUAUGUCUCAGGAUGAAUCUUUUUAUAAAGCUAGUGAAUUGUUUUUUGUAGCUUAUAAGAGGAUUUACAGUCUCUAUUUCUAACAUUUGGAAAUGCUUUUUUAAAGUGAUCAAAAUACUUGGGAAAAUGUAUUUUGAAUAUAAUUCUUUUGAAAGGAAAUCUAAUUCUAAAGUUAGCUUAGAUAUUUGUUUGUCUCAGAACAUUUCAGUUUUUUAAAUUCAAGAACAUUGUGCAGUCAUGGCAUCCCACUACUGCACACAUGUCUUUCCAUGAUGCUUUAAAAAAAAAUCAGAAAAUUCUGCAUUUUCCUUUCUUAAUUGAACGAAGUAAAACAUUUUAAAUGAAAUAAAAUGCCAAGUGAAAGUAAUCGGUUGUAGUAUAAAAUGCCAGGUGAAAGUAAUUGGUUGUAGCACAAAAAACCAGGUUAAAGUAUUGGUUGUAGCAUAAAAUGCCAGGUGAAAGUAAUUGGUUGUAGCAUAAAAUAAUGGGUCGUAGCAUAAAAUGCCAGGUGAAAGUUUGUUUGUAGCAUAAAAUGCCAUAUGAAGGUAAUGGGUUGUAGUAUAAAAUAAUUGGUUAUAGCAUAAAAUGCUAGGUGAAAUUAGUGGGUUGUAACAUAAAUGUCAGGUGAUAGUAAUGGGUUGUAGCAUAAAAUGCCAGGUGAAGGUAAUCGGUUUUAGACCAGUUAAAUUAUCCCACUGUACUAAAAAAACAACAAAUAAACAAAGAAAAUAAAAA
Molecule: long non-coding RNA, 1331 nt
Organism: Mytilus californianus (California mussel)
Lineage: Eukaryota; Metazoa; Mollusca; Bivalvia; Mytilida; Mytilidae
Exons: 2
Source: RefSeq, a predicted model, not a curated record